GCCUCCCUCCGCCGCCACUCAGACUCCUACGGCGAGGCAGCAGGUAGGGGAAGUUAGUUAGGACAAGUGGGCGCGAAGCCUGAUCCAGCAAUGCCGCGUGGGUGAAGGAAGGUCGUUCGGAUUGUAAAGCCUUUCAGUUGGACGAAGCUUCUCCGGUGAAUAGCCGGAUGGAGUGACGGUACCUUCACAAGAAGCACCGGCUAACUACGUGCCAGCAGCCGCGGUAAUAC
Molecule: ribosomal RNA, 230 nt
Filed under: uncultured bacterium
Lineage: Bacteria
Description: partial 16S ribosomal RNA
Rfam family: Bacterial small subunit ribosomal RNA
Source: RNAcentral